CCCGGCUCCGGGAUUCGCUACCUGCCGCCGCUCCACCCCGCCCCGAAGCGGCAGCGGAGCCGGAGCGCGAGGGUGGUGGGCUUCGGGACCUGCUGUCGGCUGUCGCUUGCAGGCGGCCCCACCGCGUUCACGCGGCGGCGGCGGCGAUGGGUAGCGGCGGCGCCGGGGACUCUUCUUCCUGUUCCGCGGCGGCGUCCGAAGCAGAAAAAGGCUCGCUGUGUUCGUGUCCGGCAGGGGCUCCAACUUCCGGUCCAUCCACGACGCCGCCGCCGCGGGCGGCAAGGUGAGCAGCGGGGAUGUGGUCGUGCUCGUCACGGACAAGCCAGUACUCGGGACCGACUGUGCACUUUGUGGAUGAGCACUUCGAUACAGGGAAAACUUUAGCCCGAAGGAUUGUGCUCGUGUUACCCAAUGAUAACAGCAUUCUGUAUGAGGUAACAUCUGUAUCAGCAGCUAUGGCUGCAUGCAUCACUCGAUGCAGAGGCCGGGGCUUAGCCUCCUUUUCUAAAAAAAAAAAAAAAACUGUAUCAGCAGCUGAGAUUUCUCCUGCAGCUGCAUGCUACAUUGUUGUGGUUAUUUUCAAUUCCUUAGCUGCCAACCUACCAUUGGCUUUGACAUCUCAGGAGCACCAUGUUUAUGUCGAGGCAGUUGCCGCCUUGUGCGAGGACCGGAUUGUGUGGCGAGAAGACGGUAUCCUGCUUAUCAGAACUCGGACAGACCCCAAUGCAUACACCUAAAUCGUGGUGCUAUCUUGAGGUGUCUUGAACAGAAAUAGAACUUAUAGAUCCCCUGCCAGUUCCCCCCUGUCUGACAAUCUGGUCCAGAAUAUCAAUGAAAUGAUACACAAUUCUUUGCGUAUUCGCAAAGAAAAAGACAAUCUGGUCCCAGAAUAUCAAUGAAAUGAUACACAAUUCUUUGCGUAUCCGCGAAAAAAAAAGACAAUCUGGUCCCAGAAACAUAACAUGCACCUUGCACGGUGUUCUGCUCGUUUGUGUGGCUUAGCUUUGAAGAUAAUAUGUGCUUCUUUUCAGUAAGUAGUAAUUCACUAACCAAUCUUCACAUAUCCACAUCUCUCCUUUGUUCAAAUGAUGUUUUCUCUUUGAGAUGUCAAUUUGUUUCGUGCUACUGUUUGACAUGCUUCUUUAUGUGAGAGGGAUAGAGAAGGGGAUGGUGCGAAUAGUAGCCAUUCUUGGAGAGCCCUCUCAGACAGCAAGGGAUAAGAGGAAGACGAGCAGGCGGCCAUGCGAGCUGCGUUAUGGUCCCUAUCGCAGAUUGUGGCCGUCAACGCCUGCAUUUCUCUGUUUCCAACAUAUACUGCAUCUUUAGCAUGAUGGCAUACAAAAACUAGACCAGUGGAAAGAUUUUAGUUGCAUAAUCUUCAGAACACAUAAACACAUCUGAUAUUCUUCUUUAGUUACUUGUAUGAAAGCCAACUCCCUUGGGUCAAACUUUUAAGUUUUGUUUUGCUGUAACUUCCAACUUGAUGAAUCCUCGUAUGUUCCUUUUUUCUUCUCUAGUUUUUUUUAUCAUACUUCUCCCCUGUAUAGCAUGCCUUUUGUACACACUUUUCCCAUCUACGCAAUCCUGCAGUUCCAUAUGUUUGGCUGCGCAAUAAUGAAUUCUUCGCGCUCA
This is a long non-coding RNA of Hordeum vulgare subsp. vulgare (domesticated barley), 1632 nucleotides long. RefSeq lists it as uncharacterized. The record is from RefSeq and is a predicted model, not a curated record. Lineage: Eukaryota; Viridiplantae; Streptophyta; Magnoliopsida; Poales; Poaceae. The transcript has 2 exons.